Molecule: ribosomal RNA, 25 nt
Filed under: Alpinia galanga (greater galangal)
Lineage: Eukaryota; Viridiplantae; Streptophyta; Magnoliopsida; Zingiberales; Zingiberaceae
Also listed under: 15 other names
Description: partial 26S ribosomal RNA
Source: RNAcentral
GUGGCCCCAAGUCAGGCGAGGCCCA